This 1278-nucleotide ribosomal RNA is filed under the name uncultured Sebacina. RNAcentral's name for it is "eukaryotic LSU rRNA". The stretch from base 601 to 1278 matches the Rfam family "Eukaryotic large subunit ribosomal RNA", at positions 1 to 656 of the family's 3401-position model. The record is from RNAcentral. Lineage: Eukaryota; Fungi; Basidiomycota; Agaricomycetes; Sebacinales; Sebacinaceae.
UUCCGUAGGUGAACCUGCGGAAGGAUCAUUAGUGAAUCUUCAAAAGUCGGCUCUGUGGAUUGUGCUGGUGGAGACACAUGUGCACGUCCGCAAGGUCGCAAACCCCACACACCUGUGCAUCUAUGACUCUGAGUGCCGCUUUGCAUGGCCUUGACCGGCCUGGCGCUCGAGUACUUUCACACACUCUUGAAUGUAACGGAAUGUCUUGUUGUGCAUAACGUACAAACAGAAACAACUUUCAACAACGGAUCUCUUGGCUCUCGCAUCGAUGAAGAACGCAGCGAAAUGCGAUAAGUAAUGUGAAUUGCAGAAUUCAGUGAAUCAUCGAAUCUUUGAACGCACCUUGCACCCUUUGGUAUUCCGAAGGGUACGCCCGUUUGAGUGUCAUUGUAAUCUCACYACCAUYGACUUUGGUCUUUUGGUAUGUGGACUUGGAUGUUGCCGUCGAUGUCUACGGCUCGUCUGAAAUGCUUCAGUGUACCCCGCUUUGCGGCGUAUUCGGUGUGAUACAUCUUCACCGGAGUUGAUCCUUUUGGGGGUCGCGUCUGUAAUGUGUGGCUCUAUGCUUCCAACCGUCUCUCGAGACAAUCUCUGACAAUUUGACCUCAAAUCGGGUGGGACUACCCGCUGAACUUAAGCAUAUCAAUAAGCGGAGGAAAAGAAACUAACAAGGAUUCCCCUAGUAACGGCGAGUGAAGAGGGAAAAGCUCAAAUUUUGAAUCUGGUGUCUUUGACUCCCGAGUUGUAAUCUAGAGAAGUGUUUUCCGUGUCGGACCGUGCACAAGUUCCCUGGAACGGGGCGUCAUAGAGGGUGAGAAUCCCGUAUAUGGCACGGACUGCCGAUGCUUUUGUGAUACACUCUCAACGAGUCGAGUUGUUUGGGAAUGCAGCUCAAAAUGGGUGGUAAAUUCCAUCUAAAGCUAAAUAUUGGCGAGAGACCGAUAGCGAACAAGUACCGUGAGGGAAAGAUGAAAAGCACUUUGGAAAGAGAGUGAAACAGUACGUGAAAUUGUUGAAAGGGAAGCGUUUGAAGUCAGUCGUAUCUGGCGGGAUUCAGCUGGGCUUUUGCCCGGUGUACUUCUCGUCCGAUGGGUCAGCAUCAAUUUCGACCGGGGGAAAAAGAUGUGGGGAAUGUGGCUGUCUWCGGGCAGUGUUAUAGCCCCAUGUUGUAUGCCUCGGUUGGGAUUGAGGAACGCAGCGCGCCUAUAGGCCAGGGGCUACCCGCCUCUUGACACGCGCUUAGGAUGCUGGCAUAAUGGCUUUAAGCGACCCGUCUUG